Molecule: unclassified non-coding RNA, 235 nt
Filed under: plant metagenome
Description: partial contains small subunit ribosomal RNA, internal transcribed spacer 1, and 5.8S ribosomal RNA
Source: RNAcentral
UCUCCGUUGGUGAACCAGCGGAGGGAUCAUUACCGAAGUUACCUCCAAAACCCACUGUGAACCUUACCUCUUGCCGCGUUGUCUCGGCGGGAGGCGGUGUGCGUCGCGCGCCCUAGCGGGCCGUGCCGCACCCGUCCCCGCCGGCAGCGCCAAACUCUAAAUGCACAGCGGACUGUACGUUCUGAUUUACAAAAAAAACAAGUUAAAACUUUCAACAACGGAUCUCUUGGUUCUG